This 305-nucleotide ribosomal RNA is filed under the name uncultured bacterium. Its description in RNAcentral is "bacterial SSU rRNA". It matches the Rfam family "Bacterial small subunit ribosomal RNA", at positions 337 to 639 of the family's 1533-position model. The record is from RNAcentral.
GCCUACGGGGCGCAGCAGUGAGGAAUAUUGGUCAAUGGGCGGGAGCCUGAACCAGCCAAGUCGCGUGAGGGAAGACGGUCCUAUGGAUUGUAAACCUCUUUAGGCGGGGAGCAAUGCCGGGCACGCGUGCUCGGAGGGAGAGUACCCGCAGAAUAAGCAUCGGCUAACUCCGUGCCAGCAGCCGCGGUAAUACGGAGGAUGCGAGCGUUAUCCGGAUUUAUUGGGUUUAAAGGGUGCGCAGGCGGCGUGUCAAGUCAGCGGUAAAAUGUCGGGGCUCAACCCCGGCCGGCCGUUGAAACUGGCGG